This 1215-nucleotide ribosomal RNA is filed under the name marine metagenome. Its description in RNAcentral is "bacterial LSU rRNA". It matches the Rfam family "Bacterial large subunit ribosomal RNA", at positions 790 to 1984 of the family's 2925-position model. The record is from RNAcentral.
UGCAAAAUUAUCGGAUGAGUUGUGGAUAGGAGUGAAAGGCUAAUCAAGCCUGGAGAUAGCUGGUUCUCCCCGAAAACUAUUUAGGUAGUGCCUCAUGUAUUACUCUCGGGGGUAGAGCACUGUUUUGGCUAGGGGGACAUCCCGUCUUACCAACCCGAUGCAAACUCCGAAUACCGAGAAGUACAAUCAUGGGAGACACACAGCGGGUGCUAACGUCCGUUGUGGAAAGGGAAACAACCCAGAUCGCCAACUAAGGUCCCAAAAUUACAGCUAAGUGGGAAACGAAGUGAGAAGUCAAAGACAGCCAGGAGGUUGGCUUAGAAGCAGCCAUCCUUUAAAGAAAGCGUAAUAGCUCACUGGUCAAGCCGACUUGCGCGGAAGAUUUAACGGGGCUUAAGCUGUAUACCGAAGUUGCGAAUGCUUAUUUUUUAAUAAGCGUGGUAGGGGAGCGUUCUGUAAGUCAAUGAAGGCAUAUUGUGAGAUAUGCUGGAGAUAUCAGAAGUGAGAAUGCUGACAUGAGUAACGAUAAUGCGGGUGAAAAACCCGCACGCCGAAAACCCAAGGGUUCCUGCGCAACGUUAAUCGACGCAGGGUUAGUCGGUACCUAAGGCGAGACCGAAAGGUGUAGUCGAUGGACAACAGGUUAAUAUUCCUGUACCGCAAUUACUGCGAUGGGGGGACGGAGAAGGCUAAGCAUACCGGGUGUUGGUUAUCCCGGGAAAAGUAUGUAGGUAGAGAACUUUGGAAAAUCCGGGUUCUUAUUACUGAGAUACGAGACCAUUGAUUUUUUAAUCAAGAAGUAGCUGAUGCCAUGCUUCCAAGAAAAGCCUCUAAGCUUCAGGUAUUACGUGACCGUACCCCAAACCGACACAGGUGGGUGGGAUGAGAAUUCUAAGGCGCUUGAGAAAACUCUGGUGAAGGAACUAGGCAAAUUGGUACCGUAACUUCGGGAGAAGGUACGCCUUUGUCGGUGAUGGAACUUGCUUCCUAAGCUGAUGAAGGUCUCAGAAACCAGGUGGCUGCGACUGUUUACUAAAAACACAGCACUCUGCUAACUCGUAAGAGGAUGUAUAGGGUGUGACGCCUGCCCGGUGCCGGAAGGUUAAUUGAUCGAGUUAGCCCUUUUUGGGCGAAGCCCGUGAUCGAAGCCCCGGUGAACGGCGGCCGUAACUAUAACGGUCCUAAGGUAGCGAAAUUCCUUGUCGGGUAAGUUCC